UGGGGAAUUUUGGACAAUGGGCGAAAGCCUGAUCCAGCAAUGCCGCGUGUGUGAAGAAGGCCUUCGGGUUGUAAAGCACUUUUGUCCGGAAAGAAAUCCUUGGCUCUAAUACAGUCGGGGGAUGACGGUACCGGAAGAAUAAGCACCGGCUAACUACGUGCCAGCAGCCGCGGUAAUACGUAGGGUGCAAGCGUUAAUCGGAAUUACUGGGCGUAAAGCGUGCGCAGGCGGUUUGCUAAGACCGAUGUGAAAUCCCCGGGCUCAACCUGGGAACUGCAUUGGUGACUGGCAGGCUAGAGUAUGGCAGAGGGGGGUAGAAUUCCACGUGUAGCAGUGAAAUGCGUAGAGAUGUGGAGGAAUACCGAUGGCGAAGGCAGCCCCCUGGGCCAAUACUGACGCUCAUGCACGAAAGCGUGGGGGAGCAAAACAGGAUUAGAUACCCCUGGUAGUCCACGCCCUAAACGAUGUCAACUAGUUGUUGGGGAUUCAUUUCCUUAGUAACGUAGCUAACGCGUGAAGUUGACCGCCUGGGGGAGUACGGUCGCAAGAUUAAAACUCAAAUGAAUUGACGGGGUCAUAGCUGUUUCCU
This 589-nucleotide ribosomal RNA is filed under the name uncultured bacterium. RNAcentral's name for it is "partial 16S ribosomal RNA". It matches the Rfam family "Bacterial small subunit ribosomal RNA", at positions 355 to 1375 of the family's 1533-position model. The record is from RNAcentral.